CCUUAUUUAGAUUAUUGUUUAAUACAUAUUGAAUUAUAUCAUCUUUAUAUUUUACAAAUCAUAUAAAAUAAGCACAUGCUAAUUAUUUUUUAAUCAUUCCAAUGCUUUUUUGAGAAUUAUUUUUCCACGUGCAUAUGAGUUGCUUCACGCUACACUUGACACUUUGUGAUAUUUUCCGGAUCAACAACCGACAUCAAUUACAUACUGCAAUACGGUUUAAGCAAACAUGAAAAAACCGCGAUCUAGUGCGAGUUUCAGUUUAAUUUAUCAGUGGAAAGUUCGAAUUAUCGAAGUUAGUCCUCAACAACAAAAAGUCGGUGUUUAUCGAAGCAGGGUUUCUGCCACACGGAGAUUAUGGACAUGGAAAAAGCUGGCAGUAGAAACGCUUUGAUCAAGAAUGUUCCUGAGAAGACACGAAGGAGACAUUAUGGGGAUUUCAUCAUUGUUCGCAUGGAUGCUCAGGAGUGCCCAGGAACCCGGACCUGGCAUACGAAACCUGAUAAUACUCGGGAGUGAAUCUGAUCCUGGAAGAUGGAGCAGCAAUAGGAGCGGGUGCAACCGAAACAAAAUUCGUCGGCCAAAAAACUACCAGAAUUCGCGAACCAAACUGCAGGAGGAACUUACCCGGGUACCUACUGAAAUGAUUAUUUGCACUAAUCUUUGUUUAAUUGAAUGUGAUGUGCAAUUAUUUGAUGAAUCAGCAAAAUAAAAAGUAUCCAUUGAUUAGUUUCAUUUCCA
RNAcentral lists this long non-coding RNA (738 nucleotides) under Aedes aegypti (yellow fever mosquito). RNAcentral's name for it is "lncRNA AAEL020478". The record is from RNAcentral. Lineage: Eukaryota; Metazoa; Arthropoda; Insecta; Diptera; Culicidae.